UGGGGAAUUUUGGACAAUGGGGGAAACCCUGAUCCAGCCAUCCCGCGUGUGCGAUGAAGGCCUUCGGGUUGUAAAGCACUUUUGGCAGGAAAGAAACGUCAUGGGUUAAUACCCCGUGAAACUGACGGUACCUGCAGAAUAAGCACCGGCUAACUACGUGCCAGCAGCCGCGGUAAUACGUAGGGUGCAAGCGUUAAUCGGAAUUACUGGGCGUAAAGCGUGCGCAGGCGGUUCGGAAAGAAAGAUGUGAAAUCCCAGAGCUCAACUUUGGAACUGCAUUUUUAACUACCGGGCUAGAGUGUGUCAGAGGGAGGUGGAAUUCCGCGUGUAGCAGUGAAAUGCGUAGGUAUGCGGAGGAACACCGAUGGCGAAGGCAGCCUACUGGGAUAACACUAACGCUCAUGCACGAAAGCGUGGGGAGCAAACAGG
RNAcentral lists this ribosomal RNA (429 nucleotides) under Acidobacteriota bacterium. RNAcentral describes it as "Acidobacteria bacterium partial 16S ribosomal RNA". It matches the Rfam family "Bacterial small subunit ribosomal RNA", at positions 355 to 776 of the family's 1533-position model. The record is from RNAcentral. Lineage: Bacteria; Pseudomonadati; Acidobacteriota.